AUUGCAGUCUGCAACUCGACUGCAUGAAGCUGGAAUCGCUAGUAAUCGCGGAUCAGAAUGCCGCGGUGAAUGCGUUCCCGGGUCUUGUACACACCGCCCGUCACACCAUGGAAGUUGGGGGCGCCCGAAGUUGGUCGGGAAAUAGAUUACCUAAGGCGAAACCAAUGACUGGGGUGAAGUCGUAACAAGGUAUC
This 194-nucleotide ribosomal RNA is filed under the name uncultured bacterium. RNAcentral describes it as "partial 16S ribosomal RNA". It matches the Rfam family "Bacterial small subunit ribosomal RNA", at positions 1297 to 1500 of the family's 1533-position model. The record is from RNAcentral.